This 90-nucleotide transfer RNA is filed under the name Lysobacteraceae bacterium. RNAcentral's name for it is "tRNA-Ser". It matches the Rfam family "tRNA". From Rfam's summary of the family: Transfer RNA (tRNA) molecules are approximately 80 nucleotides in length. Their secondary structure includes four short double-helical elements and three loops (D, anti-codon, and T loops). Lineage: Bacteria; Pseudomonadati; Pseudomonadota; Gammaproteobacteria; Lysobacterales; Lysobacteraceae. The record is from RNAcentral. RNAcentral also lists the same sequence under 1 other name.
GGAGAGGUGGCCGAGCGGUUUAAGGCACCGGUCUUGAAAACCGGCAAAGACGCGAGUCUUUCAAGGGUUCGAAUCCCUUCCUCUCCGCCA